Molecule: ribosomal RNA, 1523 nt
Filed under: uncultured Acidobacteriaceae bacterium
Lineage: Bacteria; Pseudomonadati; Acidobacteriota; Terriglobia; Terriglobales; Acidobacteriaceae
Description: bacterial SSU rRNA
Rfam family: Bacterial small subunit ribosomal RNA
Source: RNAcentral
UAGAGUUUGAUCAUGGCUCAGAAUGAACGCUGGCGGCGUGCCUAACACAUGCAAGUCGCACGAGAAAGGGGCCUUCGGGCUCCCGGUAAAGUGGCGAACGGGUGAGUAACGCGUAGGUAACCUGUCCUCGAAUGUGGAAUAACCUGGCGAAAGCCGGGCUAAUACCGCAUGAUGUCCGCGGGUCCUCGGAUCUGCGAACCAAAGGUGGCGAGCUUCGAGUGCUGCCGUUCGAGAAAGGGCCUGCGUCCCAUUAGCUAGUUGGUGGGGUAACGGCCUACCAAGGCUACGAUGGGUAGCCGGGCUGAGAGGCUGUCCGGCCACACUGGAACUGAGACACGGUCCAGACUCCUACGGGAGGCAGCAGUGGGGAAUCUUGCGCAAUGGGGGAAACCCUGACGCAGCGACGCCGCGUGGGCGAUGAAGGCCUUCGGGUCGUAAAGCCCUGUCGAGCGGGACGAAACGUACGAGCUCUAACAUAGCUCGUGCCUGACGGUACCGCUAAAGGAAGCCCCGGCUAACUCCGUGCCAGCAGCCGCGGUAAUACGGAGGGGGCUAGCGUUAUUCGGAAUUAUUGGGCGUAAAGGGCGUGUAGGCGGCUUCGUGUGUCCCAUGUGAAAGCCCUCGGCUCAACCGGGGAACUGCAUGGGAAACUGCGGAGCUUGAGUCCGGGAGAGGUGAGUGGAAUUCCCAGUGUAGCGGUGAAAUGCGUAGAUAUUGGGAGGAACACCGGUGGCGAAGGCGGCUCACUGGACCGGUACUGACGCUGAGACGCGAAAGCCAGGGGAGCAAACGGGAUUAGAUACCCCGGUAGUCCUGGCUGUAAACGAUGAGAACUUGGUGUGGCGGGUAUCGACCCCUGCCGUGCCGAAGCUAACGCAUUAAGUUCUCCGCCUGGGGAGUACGGCCGCAAGGCUGAAACUCAAAGGAAUUGACGGGGGCCCGCACAAGCGGUGGAGCAUGUGGUUCAAUUCGACGCAACGCGAAGAACCUUACCUGGGUUUGAACUGCAGGUGACAGCCCCUGAAAGGGGGUCUUCCUUCGGGACACCUGUAGAGGUGCUGCAUGGCUGUCGUCAGCUCGUGUCGUGAGAUGUUGGGUUAAGUCCCGCAACGAGCGCAACCCCUACUCUUAGUUGCCAGCGGUUCGGCCGGGAACUCUAAGGGGACUGCCGGUGAUAAACCGGAGGAAGGUGGGGAUGACGUCAAGUCCUCAUGGCCUUUAUGUCCAGGGCUACACACGUGCUACAAUGGGCGGUACAAAGGGCUGCGAAGGCGCGAGCCGGAGCCAAUCCCAAAAAGCCGGUCGUAGUCCGGAUCGGAGUCUGCAACUCGACUCCGUGAAGUCGGAAUCGCUAGUAAUCGCAGACCAGCAUUGCUGCGGUGAAUACGUUCCCGGGUCUUGUACGCACCGCCCGUCACACCAUGGGAGUUGAUUGCACCAGAAGCAGGUAGCCUGACCGCAAGGAGGGCGCCUACCACGGUGUGGUCAAUGACUGGGGUGAAGUCGUAACAAGGUAACCGUAA